Molecule: ribosomal RNA, 408 nt
Filed under: Verrucomicrobiota bacterium
Lineage: Bacteria; Pseudomonadati; Verrucomicrobiota
Description: Verrucomicrobia bacterium partial 16S ribosomal RNA
Rfam family: Bacterial small subunit ribosomal RNA
Source: RNAcentral
UGGGGAAUAUUGGACAAUGGACCAAGAGUCUGAUCCAGCAAUUCUGUGUGCACGAUGAAGUUUUUCGGAAUGUAAAGUGCUUUCAGUUGGGAAGAAAGAAAUGACGGUACCAACAGAAGAAGUGACGGCUAAAUACGUGCCAGCAGCCGCGGUAAUACGUAUGUCACGAGCGUUAUCCGGAUUUAUUGGGCGUAAAGCGCGCGCAGGUGGUUUAGAAAGUCUGAUGUGAAAGCCCACGGCUCAACCGUGGAGGGUCAUUGGAAACUAAUAAACUUGAGUGCAGGAGAGAAAAGUGGAAUUCCUAGUGUAGCGGUGAAAUGCGUAGAGAUUAGGAGGAACACCGGUGGCGAAAGCGGCUUUUUGGCCUGCAACUGACACUGAGGCGCGAAAGCGUGGGGAGCAAACAGG